GACGAACGCUGGCGGCGUGCCUAAUACAUGCAAGUAGAACGCUGAAGAGAGGAGCUUGCUCUUCUUGGAUGAGUUGCGAACGGGUGAGUAACGCGUAGGUAACCUGCCUUGUAGCGGGGGAUAACUAUUGGAAACGAUAGCUAAUACCGCAUAACAAUGGAUGACACAUGUCAUUUAUUUGAAAGGGGCAAUUGCUCCACUACAAGAUGGACCUGCGUUGUAUUAGCUAGUAGGUGAGGUAACGGCUCACCUAGGCGACGAUACAUAGCCGACCUGAGAGGGUGAUCGGCCACACUGGGACUGAGACACGGCCCAGACUCCUACGGGAGGCAGCAGUAGGGAAUCUUCGGCAAUGGGGGCAAGCCUGACCGAGCAACGCCGCGUGAGUGAAGAAGGUUUUCGGAUCGUAAAGCUCUGUUGUAAGUCAAGAACGAGUGUGAGAGUGGAAAGUUCACACUGUGACGGUAGCUUACCAGAAAGGGACGGCUAACUACGUGCCAGCAGCCGCGGUAAUACGUAGGUCCCGAGCGUUGUCCGGAUUUAUUGGGCGUAAAGCGAGCGCAGGCGGUUUGAUAAGUCUGAAGUUAAAGGCUGUGGCUCAACCAUAGUUCGCUUUGGAAACUGUCAAACUUGAGUGCAGAAGGGGAGAGUGGAAUCCCAUGUGUAGCGGUGAAAUGCGUAGAUAUAUGGAGGAACACCGGUGGCGAAAGCGGCUCUCUGGUCUGUAACUGACGCUGAGGCUCGAAAGCGUGGGGAGCGAACAGGAUUAGAUACCCUGGUAGUCCACGCCGUAAACGAUGAGUGCUAGGUGUUGGAUCCUUUCCGGGAUUCAGUGCCGCAGCUAACGCAUUAAGCACUCCGCCUGGGGAGUACGACCGCAAGGUUGAAACUCAAAGGAAUUGACGGGGGCCCGCACAAGCGGUGGAGCAUGUGGUUUAAUUCGAAGCAACGCGAAGAACCUUACCAGGUCUUGACAUCCCGAUGCUAUUUCUAGAGAUAGAAAGUUACUUCGGUACAUCGGUGACAGGUGGUGCAUGGUUGUCGUCUGCUCGUGUCGUGAGAUGUUGGGUUAAGUCCCGCAACGAGCGCAACCCCUAUUGUUAGUUGCCAUCAUUCAGUUGGGCACUCUAGCGAGACUGCCGGUAAUAAACCGGAGGAAGGUGGGGAUGACGUCAAAUCAUCAUGCCCCUUAUGACCUGGGCUACACACGUGCUACAAUGGUUGGUACAACGAGUUGCGAGUCGGUGACGGCAAGCUAAUCUCUUAAAGCCAAUCUCAGUUCGGAUUGUAGGCUGCAACUCGCCUACAUGAAGUCGGAAUCGCUAGUAAUCGCGGAUCAGCACGCCGCGGUGAAUACGUUCCCGGGCCU
Molecule: ribosomal RNA, 1369 nt
Filed under: uncultured bacterium
Lineage: Bacteria
Description: bacterial SSU rRNA
Rfam family: Bacterial small subunit ribosomal RNA
Source: RNAcentral